Molecule: ribosomal RNA, 740 nt
Filed under: uncultured archaeon
Lineage: Archaea
Description: bacterial SSU rRNA
Rfam family: Archaeal small subunit ribosomal RNA
Source: RNAcentral
UUCCGGUUGAUCCUGCCGGACCCGACUGCUAUCAGAGUGGGACUAAGCCAUGCGAGUCAACAUAGCAAUAUGUGGCAUACGGCUCAGUAACACGUAGUCAACAUGCCCAGGGGACGUGGAUAACCUCGGGAAACUGAGGAUAAACCGCGAUAAGUCACUACUUCUGGAAUGGGUAAUGACUAAAAUCUACAUGGCCCCUGGAUUGGACUGCGGCCGAUCAGGCUGUUGGUGAGGUAAUGGCCCACCAAACCUGUAACCGGUACGGGCUCUGAGAGGAGGAGCCCGGAGAUGGGCACUGAGACAAGGGCCCAGGCCCUAUGGGGCGCAGCAGGCGCGAAACCUCUGCAAUAGGCGAAAGCCUGACAGGGUUACUCUGAGUGAUUUCCGUUAAGGAGAUCUUUUGGCACCUCUAAAAAUGGUGCAGAAUAAGGGGUGGGCAAGUCUGGUGUCAGCCGCCGCGGUAAUACCAGCACCCCGAGUGGUCGGGACGUUUAUUGGGCCUAAAGCAUCCGUAGCCGGUUCUACAAGUCUUCCGUUAAAUCCACCUGCUCAACAGAUGGGCCGCGGAAGAUACUAUAGAGCUAGGAGGCGGGAGAGGCAAGCGGUACUCGAUGGGUAGGGGUAAAAUCCGUUGAUCCAUUGAAGACCACCAGUGGCGAAGGCGGCUUGCCAGAACGCGCUCGACGGUGAGGGAUGAAAGCUGGGGGAGCAAACCGGAUUAGAUACCCGGGUAGUCCCAG